UCUCUGUGGUGGAAGAGUUUACCCAUUGAAAGACACUUUGAUUUUCAUGUAUCGUAAAGGGUCCAAUGACAGAAGACAUGUGGAACCAGAAAUUAAAAUGUGUCACUGAAGGACGUAACAAAGCUCUAUUACCUGAAUUGAAGUCAUUGCCAGCCUUCUGUGUUUGGAUGAGAUGAGUAGAAACUUUUACUCACCAUUUAAUUGCAGAUAUUUAGACUUUAAACUAUUCAUUAUAAUUUUGGAUACAUUUUAAUAUAGCUAUUUUUCAUAAGGUGAAUGUGUUAGCUGGAAAAUAAACAUAAUUAGAACAAAUAAAUCAUUAACAAUUUUAUUUACAUUUUGAGUACAUUCCUUCUCUUGUAUUUUGUUCAUUGUUACACACUAUACAGAAGCAAAGUUAUUAAAAAUUGAAACUGCACAGAGAUUUUAUGGACAUCAUCUGUAACUACGAUAGUAUUUGGAACCCAGUCUAAAUUUAAUAAAUCCUUUCGAAAACAAAUAAUGCCAGCUAAUAAUUACUUAGUACUUCUCAGUGUUUUGCAUGCAUUACAAAUCAAAUCCUAUGUCCAGGGAUUUUGGUCUAUUUUUAUCCUCCUUUUAUAGAUGUGAAAAGUGAAGCACAGGGAGGUUAAAUAACUAAUCCAAGGUUACACGGUUUGUAAAUAGAGGAUCCAGAUUUCCAACCCAAGCAAUUUCUCUUGACACUUUUAACCACAUCAUUAUUCUGUUUUCCUGAAGAAAAAUAUUUUCAGCUCUACCCAGAACUUUAGCUGUCCUGAAGUGUUUUCAUGGUUAUUUUUUAAUAUUAUGGUCCUUUUAAAUGUGGUUGAAAAUCAAAAUCAAAUAAGUAAAUAUAACUUUUUUUUUCCAUUUCAAAGAUUUUAUUUAUUCAUUUUAAAGAGAUAGAACAUGGGAGGGGCAGAGGGAGAGGGAGAAAGAAUCUGAAGCGAACU
Molecule: long non-coding RNA, 953 nt
Filed under: Ursus thibetanus thibetanus
Lineage: Eukaryota; Metazoa; Chordata; Mammalia; Carnivora; Ursidae
Description: lncRNA (ENSUTTG00000019937.1)
Source: RNAcentral